RNAcentral lists this long non-coding RNA (1204 nucleotides) under Gallus gallus (chicken). RNAcentral describes it as "lncRNA (ENSGALG00010003561.1)". The record is from RNAcentral. Lineage: Eukaryota; Metazoa; Chordata; Aves; Galliformes; Phasianidae.
AGAUUGAUGACUGAUCUAAUCUUGGCCUCGAGCAAUGCUAAAAAAAGCAGCUUUACCUUUUCACUGCCAUUCAGACACAAUGGUGAGGGAAGAAAUAUUAGAAGCCUGGAAAAGGCAGAGAAAAUACACAUCCCUGAGCCUGGUCAAAAAGUGGUCUGGUUGCUCCAGAGAGGAGAAACUUCCAGCAAACAGAGUGGCCUGAUCAUGGCCAGAAGGAAAGGGUAAGGAGCCAGCACAGGGUUAGGGUCAGGGUUAGGGCUGUUUAGCUUCAUGGGAUGGAUUGCUGUGUGCUCCUUCACACCUCCCAGCUUCCAGCAUUUUGUGUUCAGGGUCUCCCUGGGAUGUUCAUAGAAUCAUAGAAUUGCUCAGGUUGGACAAGACCUUAAAGAUCAUCGAGUCCAACCACAACCCAACCAUCCUACCCUAACUCUAACAGCCCUCCACUAAAUCAUGUCCCUGAGCCCCACAUCCAGAUGGCUUGAACUCCAGGGUGAAUUUGAACCCAAAUCCCUAGAAAAUGUGUGCACAAAUGAAUGAUUUUGGUAAGUGAAUCAUGGAAUCAUAGAAUCACCAAGGUUGGAAAAGACCCACAGGGUCAUCCAGUCCAACCAUUCACCCAUCACCAAUGGCUCUCACUAAACCACGUCCCUCAACACAAUGUCCAAAUGUUCCUUGAAGGUCCUUCUUUGAAGAAGAAGAGCAGAAACUUGAAGGAGUCCGUUGAGUCUAAGUCAGAUCAAUCAGAUCAUUUAUCUGCUGUGGGAGGGUGACAGAGUUUAUACACAGGGAAAAACACCAUCUGUCCAUCUGUCUUAAUUCUUGAGAUGAAGUAUAUCACAUAUAUUGCAUGGUGUUUUUAUAAAUGAGCCAGAGUGUAUUGCUGAGCUUGAGCCACCAUCAGGUGAUCAGAGGGUUUACAAGGGUGGAUAGUGAUAGGACAAGGGGGAAUGGUUUUAAACUGAGACAGGGGAGGUUUAGGUUGGAUAUGAGGAGGAAGUUUUUCCCCCAGAGGGUGGUGACGCACUGAACAGGUUGCCCAAGGAGGCUGUGGAUGCCCCAUCCCUGCAGGCAUUCAAGGCCAGGCUGGAUGUGGCUCUGGGCAGCCUGGGCUGCUGGUUGGCGACCCUGCACAUAGCAGGGGGUUGGAGCUGGAUGAGCAUUAUGGUCCUUUCCAACCCAUAUUGUAUGAUUUUGUGACACCCUG